RNAcentral lists this long non-coding RNA (1360 nucleotides) under Heterocephalus glaber (naked mole-rat). RNAcentral describes it as "lncRNA (ENSHGLG00100041350.1)". The record is from RNAcentral. Lineage: Eukaryota; Metazoa; Chordata; Mammalia; Rodentia; Bathyergidae.
CCCCUCGGCGGCCCUAGACCCCUGUCCGCCUUUCACUUUCAGCCUGGAGUUUGUCCCGGGCGCGCAGGCCUGCCCUCCGCCCUGUCUCCGUCCGCCGCCGAGCCCCGCUCCGGGCAGCUCUUUCUCGGACUCCCGGACCCCUGCUUUGAGCUCUCCAUUUCCGUCCCCGCUGCUUCUUGCCUUACCUGUCUUUUGCGCGCGGCCACUUCCUCGCCUUUGGGACCCUCUUCUCCCGCCUGCUUCUGGCGCUCUUUAGUCCCACUCGCCCGGCCCUCGCCCCAAGCCUCUUCCGCCGGGACCUUUUCCUUCCAGCUUUCUCUUCUCUUCUCCCCUUCACCUCCCUCCCUCCCCCAUCUCCACCUUCCUUUGCCUCCCUUCCCUUCCCCCAUCCUUGUUUUAAAGCAGCCAGAGCUGAGCGCAGAGGAGUGGUGUCCUGAAGAGGAAAAGACUUUGAGGAACGCUCGAGCCUGAACGCUGCGGAAAGGGGACAAAGGACAGGCCGGGUAGUUAUUUAUAUCGAAAGUGGGAUGUGGAGCAGCGUGCUGCUUAACGUUUGGGGUCGUCCGCACUUCCGCAGGGCAGAAGGGCUGCUGGUGAUGUAUCUGCCAGAGGGCAAAGCAACAACUCCACCAGAGUGGAUGAAGGGGAGGAAGCCUCUCUAUCGGAAGUGGCGGUAUCCUGACAUUUACCAUGAAGCUGCAAGGUCUGGGCUGCUCAACUCAAAUCCUAUCGGUCCCACUCUUCAUUCUCCAGCUGUGAGACCUGGGACUCAGCCACUGAAUCCUGCAUCCGAACAUCUUUAUCAAGAUGCUGUAUAUGCCACAAUGUCAUCAAUUGCCCUUUUGAUUUUACUUGCUGCUGAGCUUCAGUGAGAAUCACACAUUUAAUCUACUUUUUGCUGAUUUGCAUAGAGAAGGAGAAAAGGAGAGAAAGUCCUUUGUGUGCCAAAAAUUGUGGUCAUCAUUGAAAAAUCAGAAGCCAUAAGACCUAGCCUCUAUUCUGGAGAAACUACACUGGAGACAGACAAUGUCGCUCAGGUGGUCUGUGGCUGGAUGCAAUCACACAGAAAGAUCAAUUGUGUUCAGGACACUUUAUGCACCCUCACUUUGAUCCACCAAAUAACACCGUCAGGAACCAUCCGCAUGAGACUUCACAGCCAAAACCCUGCAAGCUCCCUGAAGGCUUCUCCUGAAAUGGCAAAUGCUUGAUUCAAGGUGUUUGCUAAUCCUUGGUGUGGAAACAAGACUUUGCAAUGCAGCAGGCAAGAUACACUCCAACAACGAAGCAAGUUUUUGGAUGGAUUCCAAGAGAAAAAUAACUCUUACCUCACGGAUUUGGAGAUAGAGACCCUUGGGAAGAG